Long non-coding RNA from Sapajus apella (tufted capuchin), 183 nucleotides. RefSeq lists it as uncharacterized. The transcript is spliced from 3 exons. The record is from RefSeq and is a predicted model, not a curated record. Lineage: Eukaryota; Metazoa; Chordata; Mammalia; Primates; Cebidae.
GCAAGCCAGCAAGGGUGCCCUUCCCAGACACCAACCCUGCUGGCACCGUCACCUGGGACUUCUUGCCUCUGGAACUGGGAGAAAAUUAAAGCCGGCGUUGAAGGCACCCAGCCUGUGGUAUUCUGCUACAACAGCCUGAGAACACCGAAACGCCAGGGGAGUGCCACGUCUGAACUCCAGGCA